RNAcentral lists this ribosomal RNA (216 nucleotides) under Glomeromycotina sp. RNAcentral describes it as "partial small subunit ribosomal RNA". The stretch from base 40 to 216 matches the Rfam family "Eukaryotic small subunit ribosomal RNA", at positions 686 to 864 of the family's 1831-position model. The record is from RNAcentral. Lineage: Eukaryota; Fungi; Glomeromycota.
GGGUCAGUAGGUUGGUCGUGCCACCGGUACGUACUGGUCUCACUGAUUCCUCCUUCCUGAAGAACCGUAAUGCCAUUAAUUUGGUGUUGCGGGGAAACAGGACUGUUACCUUGAAAAAAUUAGAGUGUUUAAAGCAAGCUAACGCUUGAAUACAUUAGCAUUGAAUAAUGAAAUAGGACGAUCGAUCCUAUUUUGUUGGUUUCUAGGAUUGACGUA